Molecule: unclassified non-coding RNA, 209 nt
Filed under: Hevea brasiliensis (rubber tree)
Lineage: Eukaryota; Viridiplantae; Streptophyta; Magnoliopsida; Malpighiales; Euphorbiaceae
Source: RNAcentral
AGUUCUUAUAAAGGAAAGCAUUUCACAUGCUUAUAUUCUGACACAGCUUCCACAAGAUGAAAAUCAUGAAGAAUAUAAUAAUUCCAAUAUUAUGCUUAUUAUAUUAGCCAUUAUCAUAAUCCACCACUAUAACUGUCAGUGUGCGAGGAAACAUAUAUACUGGUAAGCUGAGGCCUCCCAAGUAUUUUAUACAUUUGCUGAUUGGCGAA